This 743-nucleotide long non-coding RNA is filed under the name Equus asinus (donkey). RNAcentral's name for it is "lncRNA (ENSEASG00005027086.1)". The record is from RNAcentral. Lineage: Eukaryota; Metazoa; Chordata; Mammalia; Perissodactyla; Equidae.
AGAAAGUAAAGCACAGAUCCAGGAAAGACAGAGAACAUCAAGCAGGAUAAAUACCAAAAUAAAACAAACUCCUACACCUAGGUAUAUUAUAUUCAAAUUGCAGAGAAACAAAGACAAAGAGAAAACAUAGAAAGAAGCCAGAGGGAAAAAACACCUUAUCUAUAGAGGAACAAAGACAAAAACUACAGUGGCCUUCUCAUCAGAAACCAUGCAAGCAAGAAGAGAGGGGUGUGAAAUAUUUAACAUGUUGAAAGAAAAAAAUCCACCAAGCUAGAAUUCUAUACACAGCAAAAUUACUUCAAAACUGGAGAAAUAAAGCCUUUAUCAAACCAACAAAAUCUGAGAUAAUUUAUCACCAGCAGACAUACUCUGCAAGAAAUUUUAAAAGAAGUUUUUCAGGUAGAAGGAAAAUUAAGUGGAUCAGAGACACGAUCUUCAAAAAGAAGGGGAGAAGGAGAAAGUGUGUCAGAGAAGAAACAAAUGAAGUUCCACAGCUAAAGCACUGAUGGAACCUUGCUGGGUCACUUGGUUCAGUUUCCUGCCGCUAGGCUGUACUUAAUUUCAACUAUCCUGGUCUAAAGUCUUCAGAAUAGGCAGUAAGAAGAAAACAAAAAAUGAAUAUAAAAUAGGGAAGCAAGCACAAACUGAACCUGUGAGGCAAGCUGGAACCAAUGAGGAUAACCAGGAAUCUGCCGGAACAUUCAACUUUGAUGAUGGGAGUGCCCUGCAGGAGAAACAGGCGC